CCUACUAGUAAUUGGAAAACUAGAGAAUCUAGGAAACAAACAAAUACAUUAGGAAACUAAUAAUUUUAGGUCCUACACAUCCUGCAUCACAUGUACAUUUGGCCAUAUAGUACAUUAUACAUACACUAGUCUGGACAGUAUGAGUUUGUAUAGUUUCUGUGUUUUGUAUGAUUGGUGUUUGAUAGUUGAUGGAAAUGAGCCAGAAUGUUUUGAAGAGCUAGACAAAUGUCUUAACUGGGGUUAGCUAUUGCUGCGACUCUUUGGGGUCUAAUUUUCCGAUAGUCAUCUUCUCCAAUAGAGCUCAUCUUGAGUUUGUGUUCUGAUUUUCUAAUUGUCUUUGUAUUUACUCAUGGAAGAGAGCUUAUCUCAAAGUCUGAGCAGAGAAGAAGCUGAGAAAGUGGUGGUGUGCCCCCUCCAUUGCCAAAGAAAACAAUAGUCAUGUGUGUUCCCUGUGAAAAGCUCCGUAGGAAAUUUGAUGAUUUUGUGAUCAAAGAUGACAAGCAAUAAAGAUGCUUUUUUGAGAGGCCUCCAUAGUGAUUGUUCUGCUUUGCCUACUGGAUAUGACAAGGAUGAUAGAGUUAUGGCAUAGUUGCCUCUGCACUGGUAGACCAAAAUAAAUCUCGUCACAUAGUUUCACUUCGUCAUCAGUUGGUACUACAUAAUAAUAGCCAAGGCUCAGACGUCCUUGUACUGUGUGUUUUACAGUUCAGCCCUUGCAUGACCUUCUGUUGGGGGAUUGUCUUCUGAACCGUUGGAUCAAUGCUGUCCCUCCGUCGAGAAUUUGAAUUCGAUUGCCAGACAUGCCGAAGCCGGUCCACGGAUGUUAUGCGAAUACAUAUAGAACUUUUCUUACGGGACCAAUGUUCCUUCAACACCUCCCGCAUCCAAUAUCUUCCGGCAAAAUGCAAAGUCCACCUUAGUUUCCCCAUCUCUAAUAGCAUAAAUUACUCCUUUUCUCAUCAUGUACUACAUUUAUUGAUUGCAUUUGCGACAAUGACGACAUCUCUCUUGCAAAAGUGUGGAAUUUACUUGUGGUUACAGGAGAGGAUUGGGGCAAUAGGUAAAGGCCGUAUCUUGUUGAAUUUCAUCAUUUCAAGGGAGGGAGGGCUAUAUAAUUCCUAGUGAAGAAAGGAAAGCAUUUAAUGGCAGGAUUCCAUUGAUUCAUAAGGAAUCCUGUGCGUAAUAAACAGAUACUUCUGUGCGGAAUGAAUUUAUGCGAAAGAAAUCCUUCGUGUGGACAA
Non-coding RNA from Prunus avium (sweet cherry), 1241 nucleotides. Lineage: Eukaryota; Viridiplantae; Streptophyta; Magnoliopsida; Rosales; Rosaceae. The record is from RefSeq and is a predicted model, not a curated record.